AGAAUCAACGCUGGCGGCGUGCCUAACACAUGCAAGUCGAACGAGAAAGUGGAGCAAUCCAUGUGUAAAGUGGCGCACGGGUGAGUAACACGUGACUAACCUACCCUUGAGUGGGGGAUAACCUAGGGAAACCUGGGCUAAUACCGCAUAAUACCUUCGGGUCAAAGGAGCAAUUCGCUUUAGGAGGGGGUCGCGGCCGAUUAGUUAGUUGGCGGGGUAAUGGCCCACCAAGACUGUGAUCGGUAU
Molecule: ribosomal RNA, 246 nt
Filed under: uncultured bacterium
Lineage: Bacteria
Description: partial small subunit ribosomal RNA
Rfam family: Bacterial small subunit ribosomal RNA
Source: RNAcentral